GGCUUUGCUUGGUGGUGAGAGUGGCGAACGGGUGAGUAAUGCGUGACCGACCUGCCCCAUACACCGGAAUAGCUCCUGGAAACGGGUGGUAAUGCCGGAUGCUCCGACUCCUCGCAUGGGGUGUCGGGAAAGAUUUCAUCGGUAUGGGAUGGGGUCGCGUCCUAUCAGGUAGUCGGCGGGGUAACGGCCCACCGAGCCUACGACGGGUAGCCGGCCUGAGAGGGCGACCGGCCACAUUGGGACUGAGAUACGGCCCAGACUCCUACGGGAGGCAGCAGUGGGGAAUAUUGCACAAUGGGCGCAAGCCUGAUGCAGCGACGCCGCGUGCGGGAUGACGGCCUUCGGGUUGUAAACCGCUUUUGAUCGGGGAGCAAGCCUUCGGGUGAGUGUACCUUUCGAAUAAGCACCGGCUAACUACGUGCCAGCAGCCGCGGUAAUACGUAGGGUGCAAGCGUUAUCCGGAAUUAUUGGGCGUAAAGGGCUCGUAGGCGGUUCGUCGCGUCCGGUGUGAAAGUCCAUCGCUUAACGGUGGAUCUGCGCCGGGUACGGGCGGGCUGGAGUGC
RNAcentral lists this ribosomal RNA (563 nucleotides) under Bifidobacterium pseudocatenulatum. RNAcentral's name for it is "bacterial SSU rRNA". It matches the Rfam family "Bacterial small subunit ribosomal RNA", at positions 76 to 649 of the family's 1533-position model. Lineage: Bacteria; Bacillati; Actinomycetota; Actinomycetes; Bifidobacteriales; Bifidobacteriaceae. The record is from RNAcentral.